This 1575-nucleotide ribosomal RNA is filed under the name Triticum aestivum (bread wheat). Its description in RNAcentral is "partial small subunit ribosomal RNA". Lineage: Eukaryota; Viridiplantae; Streptophyta; Magnoliopsida; Poales; Poaceae. The record is from RNAcentral.
AUGACAAAUAUGGUUCGAUGGCUCUUCUCUACUAACCACAAGGAUAUUGGGACUCUCUAUUUCAUCUUCGGUGCCAUUGCAGGAGUGAUGGGCACAUGCUUCUCCGUACUGAUUCGUAUGGAAUUAGCCCGACCCGGCGAUCAAAUUCUUGGUGGGAAUCAUCAACUUUAUAAUGUUUUAAUAACGGCUCAUGCUUUUUUAAUGAUCUUUUUUAUGGUUAUGCCGGCGAUGAUAGGUGGAUUUGGUAAUUGGUUUGUUCCGAUUCUGAUAGGUGCACCUGACAUGGCAUUUCCACGAUUAAAUAAUAUAUCAUUCUGGUUGUUGCCACCAAGUCUCUUGCUCCUAUUAAGCUCAGCCUUAGUAGAAGUGGGCAGUGGCACUGGUUGGACAGUCUAUCCGCCCUUAAGUGGUAUUACCAGCCAUUCUGGAGGAGCAGUUGAUUUAGCAAUUUUUAGUCUUCAUCUAUCAGGUAUUUCAUCAAUUUUAGGUUCUAUCAAUUUUAUAAAAACUAUCUUCAACAUGCGUGGACCUGGAAUGACUAUGCAUAGAUUACCACUUUUUGUGUGGUCCGUUCUAGUGACAGCAUUCCUACUUUUAUUAUCACUUCCGGUACUGGCAGGGGCAAUUACAAUGUUAUUAACCGAUCGAAACUUUAAUACAACCUUUUUUGAUCUUGCAGGAGGGGGAGACCCAAUAUUAUACCAGCAUCUCUUUUGGUUCUUCGGUCAUCCAGAGGUGUAUAUUCUCAUUCUGCCUGGAUUUGGUAUUAUUAGUCAUAUCGUAUCGACCUUUUCAAGAAAACCGGUCUUCGGGUAUCUAGGCAUGGUUUAUGCCAUGAUAAGUAUAGGUGUUCUUGGAUUUCUAGUUUGGGCUCAUCAUAUGUUUACUGUGGGCUUAGACGUUGAUACGCGUGCCUACUUCACCGCAGCUACCAUGAUCAUAGCUGUGCCCACAGGAAUCAAAAUCUUUAGUUGGAUCGCUACCAUGUGGGGAGGUUCGAUACAAUACAAAACACCCAUGUUAUUUGCUGUAGGGUUCAUCUUUUUGUUCACCAUAGGAGGGCUCACUGGAAUAGUUCUAGCAAACUCUGGGCUAGACAUUGCUCUACAUGAUACUUAUUAUGUGGUUGCACAUUUCCAUUAUGUACUUUCUAUGGGAGCCGUUUUUGCUUUAUUUGCUGGAUUUUACUAUUGGGUGGGUAAAAUCUUUGGUCGGACAUAUCCUGAAACUUUAGGCCAAAUCCAUUUUUGGAUCACUUUUUUCGGGGUUAAUCUGACCUUCUUUCCCAUGCAUUUCUUAGGGCUUUCGGGUAUGCCACGUCGCAUUCCAGAUUAUCCAGAUGCUUACGCUGGAUGGAAUGCUCUGAGCAGUUUCGGUUCUUAUAUAUCCGUAGUUGGGAUUCGUCGUUUCUUCGUAGUUGUCGCAAUCACUUCAAGCAGUGGAAAGAACCAAAAAUGUGCGGAAAGUCCUUGGGCUGUUGAACAGAAUCCAACCACACUAGAAUGGUUGGUACAAAGCCCUCCGGCCUUUCAUACUUUUGGAGAACUUCCUGCGGUAAAAGAGACAAAAAGCUAA